UCCCAGCGGUCCGAGUCGCAUCCACAAUUAUUGGGUCUAAAACAUUCGUAGCUUGUUUGUUAAGUUCCUUGUGAAAUCUUAAAUCUUAAAUUUAAGGCGUGCAAGGAAUACUGGCAAACUUGAGACCGGAAGAAGUAAAGAGUAUGGCCAAGGUAGUGGUAAAAUACGUUAAUCUUGGUUAGACUAACAACAGCGAAGGCACUUUACUAGUACGGAUCUGACAGUGAGGAAUGAAGGCUAGGGUC
Molecule: ribosomal RNA, 245 nt
Filed under: uncultured archaeon
Lineage: Archaea
Description: partial 16S ribosomal RNA
Rfam family: Archaeal small subunit ribosomal RNA
Source: RNAcentral